GGAUUCCCCUAGUAACUGCGAGUGAAGCGGGAAAAGCUCAAAUUUAAAAUCUGGCAGUCUUCGAUUGUCCGAGUUGUAAUCUAAAGAAGUGUUACCCCCGCUGGCCUGUGCAAAAGUCUUCUGGAAUGAAGCAUCAAAGAGGGUGAGAAUCCCGUAUUUGGCACAGACUACCAGGGCUAUGUGGUGCGCUCUCAACGAGUCGAGUUGUUUGGGAAUGCAGCUCAAAAUGGGUGGGAAAUUCCAUCUAAAGCUAAAUAUUGGCGAGAGACCGAUAGCGAACAAGUACCGUGAGGGAAAGAUGAAAAGAACUUUGGAAAGAGAGUUAAAAAGUACGUGAAAUUGCUGAAAGGGAAACGCUUGAAGUCAGUCGCGUUGGUUGGAAAUCAACCUUGCUUUUGCAUGGUGUACUUUCUGAUUGACGGCUCAGCAUCAGUUUUGACCAUUGGAUAAAGGUCGUCGGAAUGUGGCACCUUCGGGUGUGUUAUAGCCUUCUAUUGCAUACAUUGGUUGGGAUUGAGGAACUCAAUGCGCCGCAAGGCCGGGUCUUUGACCACGUACGCAUUUAGGAUGCUGGGAUAAUGGCUUUAAUCGACCCGUCUUGAAACACGGA
This 610-nucleotide ribosomal RNA is filed under the name Mycocalia denudata. RNAcentral's name for it is "partial large subunit ribosomal RNA". It matches the Rfam family "Eukaryotic large subunit ribosomal RNA", at positions 72 to 665 of the family's 3401-position model. The record is from RNAcentral. Lineage: Eukaryota; Fungi; Basidiomycota; Agaricomycetes; Agaricales; Nidulariaceae.